UAGAUGUUAUCCGUGGAAGAGAACUCCUUGGUUAAUUUCCACCUCAACUAUUAUUAGAAUUGAAGGUUUUGGUGUGUAAAAGGGGAGACUUUUAAAGUCUACUACAAAGUUGGUUAGAUUCAUUUCCAAAAACCAAGCUGCUACCUUGGUUUUGUAAAUGCGGAGGGCCAGGCUCCACAUGGGCUGGGGUCCGCGGGGAGGCAGGGCGCCUUGGUCGCUGACUUCAGCCGUUGAGACCUGGUGGGCUGCGGGCGGUCCCGUGCUCAGUUGGGCCAGGGAGUGGUGUAGGCACGCAGGCCCGUCCUGCCCACCCCAUCUCCCCGCAGUGGGUUUCUCCUCUUUCU
RNAcentral lists this long non-coding RNA (344 nucleotides) under Pan troglodytes (chimpanzee). Its description in RNAcentral is "long non-coding RNA NONPTRT014001". The record is from RNAcentral. Lineage: Eukaryota; Metazoa; Chordata; Mammalia; Primates; Hominidae.